This 492-nucleotide ribosomal RNA is filed under the name uncultured bacterium. RNAcentral describes it as "partial 16S ribosomal RNA". It matches the Rfam family "Bacterial small subunit ribosomal RNA", at positions 29 to 507 of the family's 1533-position model. The record is from RNAcentral.
AGUGAACGCUGGCGGUAGGCCUAACACAUGCAAGUCGAACGGCAGCACAGUAAGAGCUUGCUCUUACGGGUGGCGAGUGGCGGACGGGUGAGGAAUACAUCGGAAUCUACUUUUUCGUGGGGGAUAACGUAGGGAAACUUACGCUAAUACCGCAUACGACCUACGGGUGAAAGCAGGGGAUCUUCGGACCUUGCGCGAUUGAAUGAGCCGAUGUCGGAUUAGCUAGUUGGCGGGGUAAAGGCCCACCAAGGCGACGAUCCGUAGCUGGUCUGAGAGGAUGAUCAGCCACACUGGAACUGAGACACGGUCCAGACUCCUACGGGAGGCAGCAGUGGGGAAUAUUGGACAAUGGGCCCAAGCCUGAUCCAGCCAUACCGCGUGGGUGAAGAAGGCCUUCGGGUUGUAAAGCCCUUUUGUUGGGAAAGAAAAGCAGCAGGUUAAUACCCCGCUGUUCUGACGGUACCCAAAGAAUAAGCACCGGCUAUCUUCGUG